GUUUGGUCCUGACCUUAGAAUCAAUUAUUACUUAAUUUACACAUGCAAGUAUCCGCACCCCUGUGAAAACGCCCUUUUACCCUAUAAGGGAUAAGGAGCUGGUAUCAGGCACAAAUAUUAGCCCAAGACACCUAGCUAUGCCACACCCACAAGGGAGAUCAGCAGUGAUUAACAUUGAAUAUAAGCGACAGCUUGAUUCAGUUAAAGUAAAAAGAGCCGGCAAAUCUGGUGCCAGCCGCCGCGGUUACACCACGUGGCUCAAAUUGACUCUUCUCGGCGUAAAGCGUGUUUUAAGGGGACCCUUUCUUGGUGUUAAAAAAAUACUAAGCUGUGACACGCUUGUGCUUAAGAAAAUCAUAAACGAAAGUUACACCAAUUUGAUCAACUUGAACCCACGACAGCUAGGAAACAAACUGGGAUUAGAUACCCCACUAUGCCUAGCCGUAAACUUUAACUUACACCCACAUCGCCUGGGGACUACGAGCUAAGCUUAAAACCCAAAGGACUUGACGGUACCCCAAAUCCACCUAGAGGAGCUUGUCCUGUAAUCGAUAACCCCCGCUUAACCUCACCACUUCUAGCAAAUCAGCCUGUAUACCUCCGCGUCAGCUUACCUCAUGAGCGCCUUUAAGUGAGCCUCAAAUGCCACAUACGCCAAUCACGUCAGGUCAAGGUGCAGCUAAUAAAAGUGGGGAAGAGAUCGGGCUACACUCUCUAUGUUAUAGAAAAACACCGAAAGACUCACCUUAUGAAACCUAGGUCAGAAGGAGGAUUUAGACAGUAAAAAGAGAACAUAGUCUCUUUUUAACCCGGC
This 814-nucleotide non-coding RNA is filed under the name Leptodactylus laticeps (Santa Fe frog). RNAcentral describes it as "partial 12S ribosomal RNA". It matches the Rfam family "Bacterial small subunit ribosomal RNA", at positions 11 to 1372 of the family's 1533-position model. Lineage: Eukaryota; Metazoa; Chordata; Amphibia; Anura; Leptodactylidae. The record is from RNAcentral.